CCUCUUCCAUUUCCAUGUCUAACGACAAUCCAAGAACCUACUCUGCAAUGCUCCAAAGCAAAAUCCCACAUCCUUCUAUCUCAAUGUCCUACGAAUGUGCAUCCUCAGAAUCACUCCCUGAAGAGCUUCCUGAAUCUGAAUCGCUGGAUGAGGAAGAUUCAUCACUCGAACUACUAGAGCUGCUAGAACUGCUACUCGCAUGCCCAUUGUCCUUCUCUAUCUCCACAGGAGGAAAAUUGCUCAUUGGCAUCUCAUCACCAAUGUCCACAUCCUCAUC
RNAcentral lists this unclassified non-coding RNA (277 nucleotides) under Hevea brasiliensis (rubber tree). The record is from RNAcentral. Lineage: Eukaryota; Viridiplantae; Streptophyta; Magnoliopsida; Malpighiales; Euphorbiaceae.